GUUCCACUUUGAGGUAUGGUAGCCACAAGAGUGAUGUCUAGUUACGCUAUCAAAAUCCUAUAUCCAUCAAAAAUCUGAUUUGAAUCAUUCUGGUACUACUGAAUCCAGUUCUGGUAUUGUAAGAAUGGAUUUGUGCCUCAUAGUGUUGGAAUUCCAGUUGGUUUUAUGUGAUUAUCUUAACAGAAUGUUGAUUGGGCCAUCAUGUCAUGAGUCAAGUAAUGCCCAAAUAGAUGAACUCAAGCAUUGAUAAUUUACACUUUAACUAUUUAACAUCAACCACAAAACUAAAUCAUUAAGCAGAAUGUAUUGCUAAUGGUCUAUGGUAUUCACGCCGUCCACACAAACAAGGACACAACUAGCAAUUAGUAACUACCAAGGAUUGCAAAGAUUUUCAGACACUCCGUUGCUCCACUUUCAAAUUGUAGGCUAAGACUAUUUUGAUGAUAUAGCUUAGGUUACAAUUUUAUAUUCAGUACAAAAUCUAAGCUUUCAUUUAUUUUUUUAAAAAAAAAGCUUCAAAAUUUACAUUUAAUCAGAGCCAUAUAAAAGAAGUGGACGGACUGGUGAUGGCAAGUCUUCAGUUGGUUGCAUCUCUCAGCUCUUUCCCCAUAGAACGCUGUAAAGGCCUCCAACCAUCAAAAUU
Molecule: long non-coding RNA, 643 nt
Filed under: Elaeis guineensis (African oil palm)
Lineage: Eukaryota; Viridiplantae; Streptophyta; Magnoliopsida; Arecales; Arecaceae
Description: long non-coding RNA (EGUI_LNC071255)
Source: RNAcentral